AUGCGCGCACGUCCACUCCGGCUCGCAUGCGCCGUCCCCGCCGCCUGACGACUGCUCGCGACAGUGUGCUAACG
Molecule: small RNA, 74 nt
Filed under: Xanthomonas axonopodis
Lineage: Bacteria; Pseudomonadati; Pseudomonadota; Gammaproteobacteria; Lysobacterales; Lysobacteraceae
Description: sX9
Rfam family: Xanthomonas sRNA sX9
Source: RNAcentral